AGAAUCAACGCUGGCGGCGUGCCUAACACAUGCAAGUCGAACGAGAAAGUGGAGCAAUCCAUGAGUAAAGUGGCGCACGGGUGAGUAACACGUGACUAACCUACCCUUGAGUGGGGGAUAACCUAGAGAAAUCUGGGCUAAUACCGCAUAAUACCUUCGGGUCAAAGGAGCAAUUCGCUUAAGGAGGGGGUCGCGGCCGAUUAGUUAGUUGGCGGGGUAAUGGCCCACCAAGACUGUGAUCGGUAUCCGGCCUGAGAGGGCGCACGGACACACUGGAACUGAAACACGGUCCAGACUCCUACGGGAGGCAGCAGUGGGGAAUUUUGCGCAAUGGGGGAAACCCUGACGCAGCAACGCCGCGUGGAGGAUGAAGUCCCUUGGGACGUAAACUCCUUUCGAUCGGGACGAUUAUGACGGUACCGAGAGAAGAACGCCCCGGCUAACUUCGCGCCAGCAGCCGC
RNAcentral lists this ribosomal RNA (461 nucleotides) under uncultured bacterium. Its description in RNAcentral is "SSU rRNA". It matches the Rfam family "Bacterial small subunit ribosomal RNA", at positions 26 to 518 of the family's 1533-position model. The record is from RNAcentral.